This 344-nucleotide unclassified non-coding RNA is filed under the name soil metagenome. RNAcentral describes it as "partial contains 5.8S ribosomal RNA, internal transcribed spacer 2, and large subunit ribosomal RNA". The stretch from base 1 to 120 matches the Rfam family "5.8S ribosomal RNA", at positions 35 to 154 of the family's 154-position model. The record is from RNAcentral.
GAUGAAGAACGUAGCGAAAUGCGAUAAGUAAUGUGAAUUGCAGAAUUCAGUGAUUCAUCGAAUCUUUGAACGCACAUUGCGCCCGCCAGUAUUCUGGCGGGCAUGCCUGUUCGAGCGUCAUUUCAACCCUCAAGCCCCCGGGCUUGGUGUUGGGGAUCGGCGUGCCCUCGCGGCGCGCCGUCCCCUAAAUCUAGUGGCGGUCUCGCUGUAGCUUCCUCUGCGUAGUAGCAACACUCGCACUGGAUCGCAGCGCGGCCACGCCGUUAAACCCCCCACUUCUGAAAGUUUGACCUCGGAUCAGGUAGGAAUACCCGCUGAACUUAAGCAUAUCAAUAAGCGGAGGA